UGCGUAUUCAAUCCCGCGACACUGCAAUCGCUUCGACGACAUUCCGCAAGGUUGUCUAGGAGUGUUGUUGUUGUGCUCGUUGGAUGCAUUUGCGUGCGGAGUGCGCCGAGUGGGUCGAUGUCGCUGCCGGAAGGGCGUAUAGAGGACUCGGGUUUUCGGACUCGAGAAUCCUGUGCGUUCGGAUAGCAGGUGAUGUUGGCUCGCUGUUGUGGAGUGCGGGUGAAUUCGCGAUGGGCGUCGGUUGUGAGUUGUGGUUGCGGAUGGCACAUGUGUCUUCCGUUUCCGCGGCCUACGAUCGGCGUUCGUUGCCCCGGCACUCGACUCGGUGUAUAGUCGGUCACCCAUUCGACCCGUCUUGAAACACGGACCAAGGAGUUUAAGGUGUACGCGAGUCAUUGAGCUGCGAAACUCAAAGGCGUAAUGAAAGUGAGACAUUGGAUGUCGACGAUGUGAGCGUUGGGCGUUUCGACGUCCGGCGCGCAACAUCGCCCCGUGACUAGGACUUGUUCUGUUGCGGAGGUUGAGCGUACGCUUUGAGACCCGAAAGAUGGUGAACUAUGCCCGAACAGGAUGAAGCCAGAGGAAACUCUGGUGGAAGUC
This 600-nucleotide ribosomal RNA is filed under the name Aphelenchoides besseyi. RNAcentral's name for it is "eukaryotic LSU rRNA". It matches the Rfam family "Eukaryotic large subunit ribosomal RNA", at positions 440 to 875 of the family's 3401-position model. The record is from RNAcentral. Lineage: Eukaryota; Metazoa; Nematoda; Chromadorea; Rhabditida; Aphelenchoididae.